RNAcentral lists this transfer-messenger RNA (377 nucleotides) under Saprospiraceae. RNAcentral's name for it is "JACJYC01 sp020636325 Standard tmRNA". It matches the Rfam family "transfer-messenger RNA". From Rfam's summary of the family: Bacterial tmRNA, also known as 10Sa RNA or SsrA, is named for its dual tRNA and mRNA-like properties. Its role is to liberate the mRNA from a stalled ribosome. To accomplish this part of the tmRNA is used as a reading frame that ends in a translation stop signal. RNAcentral also lists the same sequence under 1 other name. Lineage: Bacteria; Pseudomonadati; Bacteroidota; Saprospiria; Saprospirales. The record is from RNAcentral.
GGGGGCGUAAUGGUAUUGACAGGAUCGAUUGCUUGUAAGUAAGCAUGCCGGAGCACUCCAGAUCACCUCCGUCAAAAAAUGGCUGGAAACCAAUUUAAAUGGCAAUACUCAGUAUGCCAUGGCUGCCUAAUUCUAGGAGUUAGAACGCCAUUAUGCCGUAGGCUUGAUUUCUGCUACACAGCCUGCCGCGUAUCAUCAACCCGCAGAAUAGCUUCAAAGAAGGCCCUGACGGCGAAGCGAAUCCAUAAGGGAUAAGGAACGAGCUGCGGAGGGUUUCCGUCCCAUCCCGUUCCCGACAAUCUAACUGGAAAAUAAGCAUGUAGAAAGCUUACAGGGGCUUUCUCUGGACGCGAGUUCGACUCUCGCCGCCUCCACCC